AGCAGCCGCGGUAAUUCCAGCUCCAAUAGCGUAUAUUUAAGUUGUUGCAGUUAAAAAGCUCAUAGUUGAAUUUCGGGACCAAUCAGCCGGUCGUGCCUCCGGUACGCACUGGUUUUAUUGGUUUCUCCCUUCUGACGAACCAUGAUGUCAUUAAUUUGGUGUCAUGGGGAAUCAGGACUGUUACUUUGAAAAAAUUUAGAGUGUUUAUAGCAGGCUCACGCUUGAAUACAUUAGCAUGGAAUAAUGAAAUAGGACGUUUGACCCUAUUUUGUUGGUUUCUAGGAUCGACGUAAUGAUUAAUAGGGAUAGUUGGGGGCAUUAGUAUUCAAUUGUCAGAGGUGAAAUUCUUGGGUUUAUUGAAGACUAACUACUGCGAAAGCAUUUGCCAAGGAUGUUUUCAUUAAUCAAGAACGAAAGUUAGGGGAUCGAAGACGAUCAGAUACCGUCGUAGUCUUAACCAUAAACUAUGCCGACUAGGGAUCGGAUGAUGUUAAUUUUUUAAUGACUCAUUCGGCGCCUU
Molecule: ribosomal RNA, 520 nt
Filed under: uncultured Glomus
Lineage: Eukaryota; Fungi; Glomeromycota; Glomeromycetes; Glomerales; Glomeraceae
Description: SSU rRNA
Rfam family: Eukaryotic small subunit ribosomal RNA
Source: RNAcentral